GCAUGCCUUGCUAGCCAAGGCGUAUUAAUGCGUAUUAAACCCUAGGUACCUUAGUAGCCGUCUUUUCCUUUUUGAGUGACUGUCAUACCUGUGAAGGAGGAGCCGAAGGGUUUAGGUGAGGGAUCGAAAACGUUGCGAGACUUCAGAUCGGGUUCAAUAACGCCGCGAGAUUUAGGUAGGAGCAGGCGCUAGUGUACGUCGGGCAGGGAGGGACAGACGCGCCACCGGAGAUGGAUGAACGACGACGCUUCCACAGGUGACAGCAGCCAAGCCCACGAUUAGGGCUAUUGAGGCGUUCGGGCGAGGAAGACGAAGCGGCGGGCGCGGGUCGACCCUCGGCAUUCUGCGGUUCGUCUCGGCUGGCGUGCAGCCCACACCUCACAGGCCGCGCUCAGGCCCACCAUUGGGCCUCGUUCCUUUUCGGCCCAAACCAGAGGUGCGCCCAAAAAAAACCCUGCGCCAUUAGGGUUCUUCGAAGCCCAUCGGUUUCGGCUCCACCAGCGGCUCGGCCAGGUCGGCUCGGCUAUGCGGCUUGGCGGCGCGGCUCGGCGGCUCGGCAUCCGAAUAGCAUACCGGUUUCUAGGUUUUUGACCCUUCUGGAGUCAUUCCCACCCUUGUUUCAGCCAUCUGAGGAGGUAGUUAGGCGCUGGAGUUAGCAUUGUGGGUGACUUCGGCCAAGGCCAAGGAGGUAAGUAACCUUACUGUUGGCGUUAGUUUUGUAUGUAUGUUGGUGCGUGCCCUGUGGCCCUUGCAUGCACCAUAUGUUGUUGCUGUAUGCUAGGUUAGAUGUUUCUUGCCGUGAAAUGCUAUGCAUGCUUUGUUUAUGUAUGUGAUUCUUGCAGUGAAUUGCUAUGUAUGCCAUGUUUAUGAAUAUGAUGUUGUGACGCGUUUUGUCGCCCUGUAUGUAUGAUGAGCUUGAUUGACAUGUUAUGAUUGUAAUGAGAACCCCACAUGCCAUGAAUAAGAUGACUAGUAUGCUAGGACAUGCUUGCUCAAUGUGGACCCUGUUAUGCUAUGUUAUGCUUGCCUAAUGUGGACCCGGUUAUGCUACGUAAUGCGGCGAGGGGAUGGAGCGUCGUAUGUGUAAUGCCAUGGAGGCCCUCCUUUGUCCGUGGCGUCCGGUAUUGUAUGUCAUACAUACCCGACCAAGCCAGGCCCAGGGAGUUCGCUUGCGAGCUCGCCUGGUGGGCCCACGAUCACACACGUGGGCCAUGUGUGGGAAAUUACCAUGCAUCCACCCCCGCCCGGACAAGGCAAGGGCCUAAGGCCAUGGGAAGGAAUGGAAGACAAACCUCUCUCUCAGCUGCGUUCUUCUAACAUUGUGCGGCAUGUAUGGAAAGGGCAAGGCUCCCAUGUACGGAUGACGGUGGAUGAGGCGAAGGGCCAUGGAAAUCUUGAGGAGGGUUUGUUGUGUCGUAGCGCCUGUUGGAUUCUCUUGGGUUCUUAGUUUUGCGAAUUGUUUUCUCUAGUCUCUGUUGAUUACUUCUAGGCUAGGUUGUCGCAAUUGUUUUCCUAGAUAUGAACUGCUUAAAUUGAUGAAUGCAUUUUCGUUGUUGAUUACUUCUAGGCUAGGUUGUCGCAAUUGUUUUCCUAGAUAUGAACUGCUUAAAUUGAUGAAUGCAUUUUCGUUACCGAGGCUGUUCCAUGUGAA
Molecule: non-coding RNA, 1651 nt
Organism: Cucurbita pepo subsp. pepo (vegetable marrow)
Lineage: Eukaryota; Viridiplantae; Streptophyta; Magnoliopsida; Cucurbitales; Cucurbitaceae
Source: RefSeq, a predicted model, not a curated record